CCCGACUCCAGUGGUGCUAUCCCUGUGCCUUAAUUCAUGACCGCCGCCCCUCUGCUGCAAUUUGGCAGCACAACCACCACUGGUGAGCCUUGUUUGCCGACCUCAACAGCCCUUUCGGUGACUGCUGUUUGGGGUGAGGUGUUAAUGGUGGAUGGAGGAUAGAUUCAUCAUGGGUUUGGUUUCGGACCGGAGAAAAUAGUGCCAAAUCCUUUAUUGUGUUUCUGCUCGACAGUGCCGAAGACGACACAGAGCUAUGCCGUAGUCGGAUCUUGGAGUGAAGAAUUUUCAGCAGCCAACGUCCCUUAAUGGCAGCAAGUUCCAGCCAGCAACUCUUUGGUUUCAGUACAAACUAGUGGCUGUGAAUUAAGGACUUUGACACAAGACGAGCAUCUCGAUGUUGGAUUUGAUUGGAUUGAACCUGCUUUUGGAGGCGGGUACCUCUUGACUUAUCUUUUAUGAUAUUGUCAUUGGAUAUGUAUAGUAUUUUAUAACUACAUGCAAUGAACAUGUUUGCCUUUGGUA
This is a long non-coding RNA of Zingiber officinale, 522 nucleotides long. RefSeq lists it as uncharacterized. The record is from RefSeq and is a predicted model, not a curated record. NCBI's taxonomy places the organism in Eukaryota, Viridiplantae, Streptophyta, Magnoliopsida, Zingiberales, Zingiberaceae. The transcript is spliced from 4 exons.